GUUAGCAACUGAGUACAGGUGGGCACAGGUGAGUGCAGGUGGGCACAGGUGGGCACAGGUGAGCACAGGGGGGCACAGGUGUGUUAGCAACUGAGUACAGGUGGGCACAGGUGAGUGCAGGUGGGCACAGGUGUGUUAGCAACUGAGUACAGGUGGGCACAGGUGAGCACAGGGGGGCACAGGUGUGUUAGCAACUGAGUACAGGUGGGCACAGGUGAGCACAGGGGGGCACAGGUGUGUUAGCAACUGAGUACAGGUGGGCACAGGUGAGUGCAGGUGGGCACAGGUGUGUUAGGAAUGUACAGGUGAGUACAGGUGAAUACAGGUGAGCAUGGGUGUGCCCAGGUGUAUCUCAGGUGUAUCUCAGGUG
Long non-coding RNA from Haemorhous mexicanus (house finch), 370 nucleotides. RefSeq lists it as uncharacterized. The record is from RefSeq and is a predicted model, not a curated record. The transcript is spliced from 3 exons. Lineage: Eukaryota; Metazoa; Chordata; Aves; Passeriformes; Fringillidae.